This 327-nucleotide ribosomal RNA is filed under the name uncultured eukaryote. Its description in RNAcentral is "partial 18S ribosomal RNA". It matches the Rfam family "Eukaryotic small subunit ribosomal RNA", at positions 1470 to 1796 of the family's 1831-position model. The record is from RNAcentral.
CCCUUAGAUGUUCUGGGCCGCACGCGCGCUACACUGAUGCAUUCAACGAGCCUAGCCUUGACCGAGAGGUCCGGGUAAUCUUUGAAACUGCAUCGUGAUGGGGCUAGAUUAUUGCAAUUAUUAAUCUUCAACGAGGAAUGCCUAGUAAGCGUGAUUCAUCAAAUCGCGUUGAUUACGUCCCUGCCCUUUGUACACACCGCCCGUCGCUCCUACCGAUUGAAUGUUCCGAUGAAUACCAUGGACUGAGAGUAUGAAUGGGUUCGCCUAUUUCUGCUUCUCGGGAAGUGGAGUAAAUCUUAACAUUUAGAGGAAGGAGAAGUCGUAACA